GUGCUUUUGAUUUCAUUCAUAGUAAAAAAAAAUGGCUUAAAAUAUUUAGUUUUCAAGCUGGUAAACGAUUUCUUUUCCUUUUCAGUCACUAUCAUGGUAAAAAAAGUCAAGGCUAUGGCUCAAUAAACCAAAACAUCACAAAAUAGUCCUCAAUAUAAGAUAUGCCUGAAGCCUCCACCAGCCAAAAUGCAUCAUAGUUCAUCACCAGGUUCAUCUAAAAGGCACUCGUGCACGCCGC
This 238-nucleotide long non-coding RNA is filed under the name Mytilus galloprovincialis (Mediterranean mussel). Lineage: Eukaryota; Metazoa; Mollusca; Bivalvia; Mytilida; Mytilidae. The record is from RNAcentral.